CUCAUGUGAGGGCACGUGUACAUGACAAGACGACCUCCAAAUUCAUCAGAACGCAGGCGGCAAUGGAGCAGAAAACGGUUGGUCGGCUUAAUAGCUAUUGGGAAACAAGGGCUGAUCAUGAGGGAUGUUCCCGAAAGACGCAUCGGAUGUCCGUGGCAAGACCAUUCAAGAUGCCGGUGACUAGCUUCCCCGCUGCCUAGUCCGGCGGCAUCACUCUCUCGAUUCUCUGGUUGUGUUGUUUGAAGACACAGCCAAGCAGUGGCCUCUAUCUGACCAGGUUCGGAUGGGAUUACUCCCUCCUCCUUUGCUUGUUCCCUGAAUUCCUGCUGAUGAUGCUGUGUCAGGAUGCUCGGAUGUUUCGUUUAACUCAUGAGGCCAAAGUUUAUUCGUAUCUCAAUGCAGUCCCUAUAAACAAAACAAGUUUGUGGAGCCAUUGCAGUUCUCAAGCUGUUCAUUACAUCUAAAUCAUCUUGUUUUCCUCAUUUGGAAACCCAAAGCAUGUGAGCAUCGGAUUAGCUUCAUGCUUUGCUGGCCACUGUUCAGGUAAUCUCGCGAGUAAACGACUUCUUCAAAAUUCUGCUGGAUUAUUUGUUUGGUGAAGUGGCCAUUGCUAAUGCAUUGCAGUCCUGGGCAUCAAGGUGCCUUUUAGCUGCUACAAUUCCAGGGCUUAACGUCGUACUUGUGCUUGUUGUGGGAUCUGGCAUUUGGAAACUUUAGGCGACAGUGAAGUCUGUGAGAAGAUCUGCGGACCACAGCAUCAUAACUCGAGUUAUUUUGUAUCUGCGUUACAUUGACAAAAGAAGUAAACUCAGAUUGCAUUGUUUACAUUACCACAAUCAGAAUAUAUGUUACUUACAUCAGUUAUUUGAUAAGUGAUCUACUCUGUCAAGAGGUUCAAUCUAAUGGUUUCUUCAGAUUUUCGUUGUUGAUCAGUUGUCUGUCUCUUUUUCCAUUUUGUUUCCGCAAAGCUUUGCUUUAACUUCUGAAACUGAAAUCAUCUUCAUCUCUGUUUCAUAGAAAUUCUUGAGGGCCACUAUUCUAUGCUUCCACAAUUAGGUUCGCUUGUGCAUAUAACUGGACGACUUUGCCAAGUGCAAUUGCAGUAAUAUGCAAUGUCUGCGCUGGAGAUGGCGUAGUAAUCUUAACUCCCAUUUUUUCUUGUGUUGCGCCGGCAUGUUCGAUAAUGUACUGCAAAAUAAAAGGGAAGAUGUACUGAGGACUUGUUCAAUGUCAUGGGAUGUGACCCUUGCCUACUUGAUAAAUACUUUUAGAGAGGUUAAUGCCAAAUUUGAUAUUGCAUGAAGGUAUCUCCUUCAUUCAAUAGAUGAUAUUUUCCUUGGUCAACGCUUAGAUGAUACAUAGAUAUCAAGUGUGUGACAUGGUAUGCCUUUUCUUUUAGUGGAAUGUUGAUUGGUCUCCUUUGCCCAAACAUCCAAAAAUGGAAAAAGGGCAAUCUUAUGCUAAGACACCUGUUUUGCUUGUUUUCAUGAUGGAAGGCAGUUUGGGCCAUCAUAAAAUUCCUUACAACAUUAAUAAAUUGUCAGCUGGUAGCAUUGCAAUGGUCUCUGCUGGGUUUUUAGCAUACCUCUGGUUUAUGUCUGAUUUUUCUUCAUUUGGUUAAAACCAGGGAAGUUGGGACAUGGUUUCAGGUUUCUUGAUGGUCUCUCUUGCAUCUGCACUGAUGGAAUAACAUCCUCUGAGUUCUGAGCUUGAUGACAGUCUCACAGUUCCCUUAACUUCUAUAUUGGCGGAGCCUUGCUUUUUAGGUCAGAGAUUGGGAAUGCGUCUUGGCUAAGGUGACAUUCAUUAUAGUAGGUAACGCGAGUAUAUUACACAAAGUGCUAUAAAAUUUGCAGCAUUUGAGUAUUAUUUACCCAGAAAAUUUACUCUCGCGCCGUGUCAUAGUUUGCACUACUAUUGUGUACUUAAGUUAUUCUUUUAUUCUAAAUUAGUACAGCAUUGUGUUGUGGGAAAUUCAAUUUUUCUGUAGAUAGAGGUUUCACAUCACAUACUUCCAUUCCAAGAGAUAGGAAUGUGCUGGUGGACCUGUCAACACUGCUGCGUGUGUUUUCCUCAGAAAUUUAGAUUGAAUUUAGUUUCCCCAUUAACUUGAGAAUCGCUAAAAUAAAAUUGUGAUCGAGGACGCGAUAAAAGAUGAUAGGCGCGGGACUGCCCGACAAUCUAGCCUGAAAGGAGUAGCAUCAGUAUUUCAUAUCAGCUGCUUUAGAGAUUUUCUUGCUAGCUACUUCAGAGAGUUCUUCUUUGAGCUAUCUCCAGCUUUGCAUAUUUUACAGCACAUCAGGUAUAGGGAGUUGUUCCCCCGGAGAAGACUGCUUUGGCAACAGGAAAUGAAUUGAAAGCUAGAGAACUGUAAGAGGAUAUAGGAGUUCUUAUCUUCAGGAAACUGUGAGGUAGUAGCAAGAAUUGCUAUGCUUAAUUGUUGUUGUAGUAGCAAGAAUUGCUUUGCUUAAUUGUUGUUGGACUCUCUCCCUCAUCAAUGCAAAACAAGCUUGCACAGAGUACAUAAUUUACACUAGCAAGAAGCCGUGUGAAUUUUACCUACGCUUUCUGUCAAGCCAAUGUGAUAGUUUUAACAGAGUUAGUAGCUCUAUAAGUAAAGUAAACCGACACACAUACAGAUAACAUCUAAGAGAAGCUGUAGCACCAUAUCUCCAGCGAAAGAAAGAGCAUGCUGCUUCUGCAGAAGGUAGCAUGUCCUCUGCAGCAGGGAAGCAACGAUUGGUCCGCAUCCAUCCUGUUAUACUACUGACUACUUCGAGAGUAAAGGGGAGGGAGGGAGCUCUGGAUGGUGGAGUCAGUGUAUCCUGAUUCUGAAUUCCUUGCACUCUUGAGACGUGGAAGAACGAUGAUGAAUAUGAGGAGUAGGGAGAAGACGAGGAGGAGCAUGAGCAUCAUGAGCUCUCCAUGAAGGGCAUAUCGACUGUCGGGCGAGAAGCGAAGCUCAUCUUGCAGCCCCGGUGGUCGUGUGUCGGGAGGCAUGGCCGGCGAGGUCCCGGGGACACCGUGAGAGGAGAGGAAGGAGGUGGCCAUGUCAGUCUCACUCGCUCUUGCUUCGCAGUUUCUUUCCUUUCCUUUUCAAUGCAUGUUGACUCUAACACACACACGACAAAACUUGGAGAGCCUUGUUUUCACAUCUCACCCGAGCCCCAUGGGACGGAGCGCGGGGAUUUAAAGUCCUGCAAGUAAAGCGUGGGCCUGUUGGGAGGGAUGGACACUGACACAAGGCUCUUUCGUUGCUUUCCCCUGUGUCUUUUGUCCCUUAAUAUCACAAACUUCAACACAUUUCUUGC
This is a long non-coding RNA of Syzygium oleosum, 3311 nucleotides long. RefSeq lists it as uncharacterized. NCBI's taxonomy places the organism in Eukaryota, Viridiplantae, Streptophyta, Magnoliopsida, Myrtales, Myrtaceae. The record is from RefSeq and is a predicted model, not a curated record. The transcript has 2 exons.